UGCGGAAUUUUAGAUAAUGGAGGGAACUCUGAUCUAGCGACGCCGCGUGCAGGAAGAAGGUCUUCGGAUUGUAAACUGCUGUGGUAAGGGAAAAAUGCUAUGUAGAGUGGAAAGCUACAUAGAGGGAUGGUACCUUACUAGAAAGCCCCGGCUAACUACGUGCCAGCAGCCGCGGUAAUACGUAGGGGGCGAGCGUUACCCGGAAUCACUGGGCGUAAAGGGAGCGUAGGUGGCCUAACAUGUCAACUGUGAAAACCCAGAGCUCAACUCCGGACUUGCAGUUGAAACUGGUAGGCUUGAGGACGGUAGAGGAAGACGGAACUGCCAGUGUAGGGGUAAAAUCCUUAGAUAUUGGCAGGAACGCCGGUGACGAAGGUGGUUUUCUGGGCCGAUUCUGAAACUGAUGCUCGAAAGCCAGGGGAGCGAACGG
Molecule: ribosomal RNA, 430 nt
Filed under: uncultured bacterium
Lineage: Bacteria
Description: bacterial SSU rRNA
Rfam family: Bacterial small subunit ribosomal RNA
Source: RNAcentral